GUCACUUCUCAGGAAUCACCUUUUGGUUUAUUAAAUCAAGAUUUGGUGUAUAAGAUUUUGGUGGAUUUUUCCCUUCCAUGUUGCUUUUGCACCUGCUUCCACUACUAAGAACAGUCAAAUUUAUCCCUAUGCAGGGAUUUGCACAGAAUCUAUACAUUUUUCAAAGACGUAGUGAGAGAAGAGCAGCUGCCACACAGUCACUUGUGGACACAUUACUAAGCCACUGCACAUGCUGUCCUCACCUAUGACUUAGUGCCUGCCUAUGGGCUAUCUGUGGUCUGCAAAGAGCUUCUUUCUUGUCCCCACUCAGCCACCAUGCUCAGGACAGCCAGGAGCCACCUGGGGAUGAUGUGUUCCCAGUGCUGAGUGGCUCCUCUCCCAUGGGACUGGCAGUAGAGCUGCCUGGGGGAUGAAUGCUUCACUUCAUGAGGGCUUUCAAGACACCUACAUGUGGUUUCAUUUUGGGGUCAUGAAAUUCCAUUUAAUUUCAAUUUCAAAUGAUUAACAUCAUGUAAAAAUACCAUAACAUCAAGAAAAAAGUUAUUUUAAAAUGAAAAAUCAAAACAUUUCAUUUUGUAAAUGUCAAAACAAGCUGUUUCUUUGAGACAACAGGAAGCUGCUAGCAUCCUUUUCUUCCUUUUUCUGUCAGAUGACAUUCCAAGUAAAUUAGCAUAACUUCAUGAAGCUGUUUUACAGAACUACAAAUUCUGACUGAAUACAGUCUGCCAAAUUUUCCCCAGUAAGCUGUGAUGAGCUGGGGCCACAAAUCAAAACAAAACCAUCACAAUGAAACUCCACUCAAUUAAAAUCCAAUCACAUGAAAUCUGCAGUACCUUCAGUGCAAUGAAUAGUGCUAUUCUCAUUUGCAGGAAGGAAAGCAAAGGCACAGAACAACCUUUCCGAAAGCGUGGGAUUAAUUCACAACUCCAUCACACACUUACUAGAUGACUAUGUGUCAUUUAUUGAGAUCCAUACUCUCAAGGAUAUUGAAGUGUUAACUCCCACUGAGCUCAAGGGAUUUUGCAAAGCUUGAUCUAAAAGAGACAAGAGCAAGCUCAGGUGCUAGGAUUACACAGUUGCCUAUUUCUGGACAACUGAAGACAAAUGAGUUUCCACACUGGACUGCAAAAUGGCACAUGACUGUGAGCUUGUUACCCCACAACAUGGAUUCAAUAUUGAUCACAAGAGCAAAAGCAUGUCCUGAUGUACUGGAAAAUAUAUUUUGCACACUAACAGAGAACACAAUGCAACCCAUGUGAAAGCCACCACUUAAAGGUCUUCUGAACUUCUAAGACAGGAGACGAAAGCAGACUGCAGUGUUCAGCACCCUUUCUGAUGACCUGGAGUGAACUAAAGUCUUUGUAGCAACAUAAUUUAUGUUGCUAGAAUGCAAUUAAGUAAGUUUGCAGUACAAAAAGUAAAUGUUACUUCAUACUUCCUUCUUUCCUUAUGAGAUGUGAUAAAAUGCUAAAUGUAUUAUUCUCACCUGUAUUUGUAGCAACAAUGGUGAUAAUUUACAUUACUUUGUCAGGUAUUCUGACCCACAAGACAAGCCAUUGCCUGACAAUUGAUUGCAUUUCAUUAAAUCAAGAAAAUUCAAGGAAAAAACAUAUUAAAGAGAUGGGAGCAAAGGCAUACUGUUUUCCACAUACAGCUCAACAAAGGUUUGAUUUAAGACCAGUUGAAUUAUUAUGGAUCAAAACUGUUUCAUUUCUGUGUCUUUCUUUGUUCUGUAAAAUAACAUAAUAACAACAAUGAUGAUGGUGAAAAUUUUAUAUUUGAACUUUUCCUAUUAUCUAAUAGUGUCUCAGCAUUUUGCAACCAAUAACACUUUGUAAAGCACAUCAUAGUGAAGUCUCAGUGUUUAUGAUGUAAACCAUAUGAUGUCCAUGUGUGCAUUUUUUCAUAUAAAUACGUAUCUAUAUAGUAUAUAUAUUUUUCAUAUAAAUACGUAUCUGUAUAGUAUAGAUAUUAUUAUCCUCAUUGUGCAAAUGCCAGAAUGAAAUGUUUAUGAAGCUUUCCGAUGGUCCCAAAGUGCUGGAGAAUGCUAUCUGCAAAUGCUAUCUGGGGCUAGAAAGGAAGUCUUAUUACUCUAAGGUUUGAGAAUAACCAACCAGACCAUGAAAGCCUGCUAUACUUAGCAUAAAUAGGAAAGGCAGGCCACAGACUAUCUCCUCUCACAGACAUAUUCUAGACAAAAGAAAAAAAAUAAUGAAACAAAAUCCACACUCAUGGAAUAGAUAAAAGUUCAGGUGAGGACAGAAGAGAUGCAGCUUCUAUUUCAUAUCUGCCCAUAAAAGGUUUGUUUUCCACUCACUUUGUUCAUUUAUUAAUGUCUUAUUCACAGCUGUUUAGACUGUCACAGGACAGUCUCUGAUACAGAACUGCAGUUCCUGGUCAUUGAGACUUGGUGCUGUUGGGAGAUGUAGAUCCUACAUUAAUAUAAAUGUACUAAAAGAGACAUAAUAAACAUGGUAACAGUGAA
Molecule: long non-coding RNA, 2485 nt
Organism: Falco peregrinus (peregrine falcon)
Lineage: Eukaryota; Metazoa; Chordata; Aves; Falconiformes; Falconidae
Exons: 4
Source: RefSeq, a predicted model, not a curated record